GAUGAACGCUGGCGGCGUGCUUAACACAUGCAAGUCGAACGAGAACGGAUUAUAGCUUGCUAUAAUUGUCAGCUAAGUGGCGCACGGGUGAGUAAUGUAUAGAUAACCUGCCCUCUAGAAAGGAAUAACAGUUGGAAACGACUGCUAAUGCCCUAUAUGCCUUUAAUACAUAAGUAUGCAAGGGAAACGCUUUAGUGCUAGAGGAUGGGUCUGUAUGGUAUCAGUUAGUUGGUGAGGUAAUGGCUCACCAAGACUAUGACGCCUAACUGGUUUGAGAGGAUGAUCAGUCACACUGGAACUGGAACACGGUCCAGACUCCUACGGGAGGCAGCAGUGGGGAAUAUUGCACAAUGGACGAAAGUCUGAUGCAGCAACGCCGCGUGGAGGAUGACACAUUUCGGUGCGUAAACUCCUUUUAUAUAGGAAGAUAAUGACGGUACUAUAUGAAUAAGCACCGGCUAACUCCGUGCCAGCAGCCGCCGUAA
This 485-nucleotide ribosomal RNA is filed under the name uncultured bacterium. RNAcentral describes it as "partial 16S ribosomal RNA". It matches the Rfam family "Bacterial small subunit ribosomal RNA", at positions 28 to 523 of the family's 1533-position model. The record is from RNAcentral.